GUGGGGAAUCUUGCGCAAUGGGCGAAAGCCUGACGCAGCCAUGCCGCGUGAAUGAUGAAGGUCUUAGGAUUGUAAAAUUCUUUCACCGGGGACUAUAAUGACGGUACCCGGAGAAGAAGCUCCGGCUAACUUCGUGCCAGCAGCCGCGGUAAUACGAAGGGGGCUAGCGUUGCUCGGAAUUACUGGGCGUAAAGGGCGCGUAGGCGGACAGCGUAGUCAGAGGUGAAAGCCCAGGGCUCAACCUUUGAAUUGCCUUUGAUACUGGCUGUCUUGAGUUUGGGAGAGGUGAGUGGAACUCCGAGUGUAGAGGUGAAAUUCGUAGAUAUUCGGAAGAACACCAGUGGCGAAGGCGACUCACUGGCCCAAUACUGACGCUGAGGCGCGAAAGCGUGGGGAGCAAACAGGAUUAGAUACCCUUGUAGUCC
Molecule: ribosomal RNA, 425 nt
Filed under: uncultured bacterium
Lineage: Bacteria
Description: partial 16S ribosomal RNA
Rfam family: Bacterial small subunit ribosomal RNA
Source: RNAcentral